AACAUACCUAAACGUUGCUUCGGCGGGAAUAGACGGCCCCGUGAAACGGGCCGCCCCCGCCAGAGGACCCUUAACUCUGUUUCUAUAAUGUUUCUUCUGAGUAAAACAAGCAAAUAAAUUAAAACUUUCAACAACGGAUCUCUUGGCUCUGGCAUCGAUGAAGAACGCAGCGAAAUGCGAUAAGUAAUGUGAAUUGCAGAAUUCAGUGAAUCAUCGAAUCUUUGAACGCACAUUGCGCCCGCCAGUAUUCUGGCGGGCAUGCCUGUUCGAGCGUCAUUACAACCCUCAGGCCCCCGGGCCUGGCGUUGGGGAUCGGCGGAGCCUCUCUGUGGGCACACGCCGUCCCCCAAAUACAGUGGCGGUCCCGCCGCAGCUUCCAUCGCGUAGUAGCUAACACCUCGCGACUGGAGAGCGGCGCGGCCACGCCGUAAAACACCCAACUUUUCUGAA
RNAcentral lists this unclassified non-coding RNA (450 nucleotides) under Fusarium solani. RNAcentral's name for it is "sequence contains 18S rRNA gene, ITS1, 5.8S rRNA gene, ITS2, 28S rRNA gene". The stretch from base 123 to 276 matches the Rfam family "5.8S ribosomal RNA". Lineage: Eukaryota; Fungi; Ascomycota; Sordariomycetes; Hypocreales; Nectriaceae. The record is from RNAcentral.